GACGAACGCUGGCGGCGUGCUUAACACAUGCAAGUCGAACGGUGAAGCUCCAGCUUGCUGGUGUGGAUCAGUGGCGAACGGGUGAGUAACACGUGAGCAACCUGCCCCUGACUCUGGAAUAAGCGCUGGAAACGGCGUCUACUACUGGAUAUGAGACGGGUCCGCAUGGACACUUUCUGGACAGUUUUUCGGUUGGGGAUGGGCUCGCGGCCUAUCAGCUUGUUGGUGAGGUAAUGGCUCACCAAGGCGACGACGGGUAGCCGGCCUGAGAGGGCGACCGGCCACACUGGGACUGAGACACGGCCCAGACUCCUACGGGAGGCAGCAGUGGGGAAUAUUGCACAAUGGGCGAAAGCCUGAUGCAGCGACGCCGCGUGAGGGAUGACGGCCUUCGGGUUGUAAACCUCUGUCAGCAGGGAAGAAGCGAAAGUGACGGUACCUGCAGAAGAAGCACCGGCUAACUACGUG
This 468-nucleotide ribosomal RNA is filed under the name uncultured bacterium. RNAcentral describes it as "partial 16S ribosomal RNA". It matches the Rfam family "Bacterial small subunit ribosomal RNA", at positions 28 to 507 of the family's 1533-position model. The record is from RNAcentral.